Molecule: ribosomal RNA, 368 nt
Filed under: uncultured bacterium
Lineage: Bacteria
Description: bacterial SSU rRNA
Rfam family: Bacterial small subunit ribosomal RNA
Source: RNAcentral
GGGCCCGCACAAGCGGUGGAGUAUGUGGUUUAAUUCGAUGCAACGCGAAGAACCUUACCAGGGUUUGACAUCCUGCGAAUUUCUGGGAAACCAGGAAAGUGCCUUCGGGAGCGCGAGUGACAGGUGGUGCAUGGCUGUCGUCAGCUCGUGUUGUGAAUGUUGGGUUAAGUCCCGCAACGAGCGCAACCACGUCUUUAGUUGCCAGCAUUUAGUUGGGCACUCUAGAGAGACUGCCGGUGAUAAACCGGAGAAGGUGUGGAUGACGUCAAGUCAUCAUGCCCCUUACAUCUGGGCUACACACGUACUACAAUGCUACGGACAAAGGGCUGCAAGUUCGCGAGGACAAGCAAAUCCCAUAAACGUGGCUC